GACGAACGCUGGCGGCGUGCUUAACACAUGCAAGUCGAACGGAAAGGCCUGCUUUCCCUUGUGGAUUGCGGGUACUCGAGUGGCGAACGGGUGAGUAACACGUGAGUGAUCUGCCCCCAACUUGGGUAUAAGCCUGGGAAACUGGGUCUAAUUCCCGAUAGGACUGCAGGGUGGUGCCUGUGGUGGAAAACGAUUUUCUAGUGGUUGGGGAUGAGCUCGCGGCCUAUCAGCUUGUUGGUGGGGUAAUGGCCUACCAAGGCGGCGACGGGUAGCCGGCUUGAGAGGGUGGACGGCCACAUUGGGACUGAGAUACGGCCCAGACUCCUACGGGAGGCAGCAGUGGGGAAUAUUGCACAAUGGGCGGAAGCCUGAUGCAGCGACGCCGCGUGGGGGAUGACGGCCUUCGGGUUGUAACCUCCUUUCGACCGCGAGGAAGCCACCUGGUUGGAAGGGUGGUGACGGUAGUGGUAGAAGAAGCACCGGCUAACUACGUG
This 494-nucleotide ribosomal RNA is filed under the name uncultured bacterium. RNAcentral describes it as "partial 16S ribosomal RNA". It matches the Rfam family "Bacterial small subunit ribosomal RNA", at positions 28 to 507 of the family's 1533-position model. The record is from RNAcentral.